GAGGAGCCCGCGGCCGAUUAGCUAGUUGGUGAGGUAACGGCUCACCAAGGCAAUGAUCGGUAGCUGGUCUGAGAGGAUGGCCAGCCACACUGGAACUGAGACACGGUCCAGACUCCUACGGGAGGCAGCAGUGGGGAAUCUUGCGCAAUGGGCGAAAGCCUGACGCAGCGACGCCGCGUGGGGGAUGAAGCUUCUCGGAGUGUAAACCCCUUUCGACCGGGACGAAUGCCCGCAAGGGAGUGACGGUACCGGUAGAAGAAGCCCCGGCUAACUACGUGCCAGCAGCCGCGGUAAGACGUAGGGGGCCAGCGUUGUUCGGAAUUACUGGGUGUAAAGGGUUCGUAGGCGGUGUGGCAAGUCGGGAGUGAAAUUUCUGGGCUUAACUCAGAGACUGCUUCCGAAACUGCUGUGCUGGAGUGUGGGAGAGGCGCGUGGAAUUGCAGGUGUAGCGGUGAAAUGCGUAGAUAUCUGCAGG
This 475-nucleotide ribosomal RNA is filed under the name uncultured Acidobacteriota bacterium. RNAcentral describes it as "bacterial SSU rRNA". It matches the Rfam family "Bacterial small subunit ribosomal RNA", at positions 224 to 704 of the family's 1533-position model. Lineage: Bacteria; Pseudomonadati; Acidobacteriota. The record is from RNAcentral.